UCAGAAACCAGAAUAGGGGACAUAUUUAUGAUCGUCAUAAUUUUUAGAGUCAUUUGGAAAGUUUAAUUGAAAUUUAAUUUUUCGCGAUUCGUAAGGGUGUGUUUGGCCCUUCUUAUUUGUGAUAAAGCUUGUAUAAUUAAAUAUAUAGGUGUGUAUGAGUUAUAUAAGUGGUGAACUCAUACUUUUGGAGUCAAAAAACAAAAUAUCUAAAGAGAGAGAGAGGAAACCGUGAAAGGGAGAGAGGGAAGAGUGUCAAUUUUCUCAACAUCCAUGGAGGCUUUGAAGAUGAUGGAAGAGAAUUGAAGGAAAGAAAGAAGAUCACCCAUGGGACUUGGAGGAAUUGAAGAGAGCUAAGAGGUAGACAAAGAUUGAGUUAGGCACCCCACCUGGAGGUCAGUUUUAACCCAUGGCAUCCGUGCCUCUUUUGUCAACCUCAGAGUAUCCAGGCACUUAAGUGAAGGCAGCCCUUUUUGCUAAACUUUUGAUUUUACACUCUGAUUGUUUGCUUAAGGUUGAUGUAUAUAUAAUUCCUUUGCCUGUCCAUGUUGUUUUACGCCCAACUCUAAGGGCUGGGUCUGUAUAUAUAUAUGUACAUAGCUAACUCUCUGGUGCACGUCACUGUAUGUUUAUUUGCCUUAUGUUCUGUCUGUGAUCCUGGCAUGAUA
Molecule: non-coding RNA, 665 nt
Organism: Camellia sinensis
Lineage: Eukaryota; Viridiplantae; Streptophyta; Magnoliopsida; Ericales; Theaceae
Source: RefSeq, a predicted model, not a curated record